This 77-nucleotide transfer RNA is filed under the name Corynebacterium jeikeium. Its description in RNAcentral is "tRNA-Lys". It matches the Rfam family "tRNA". From Rfam's summary of the family: Transfer RNA (tRNA) molecules are approximately 80 nucleotides in length. Their secondary structure includes four short double-helical elements and three loops (D, anti-codon, and T loops). Lineage: Bacteria; Bacillati; Actinomycetota; Actinomycetes; Mycobacteriales; Corynebacteriaceae. The record is from RNAcentral. RNAcentral also lists the same sequence under 1 other name.
GCCCCUUUAGCUCAGCUGGUUAGAGCUACGGACUUUUAAUCCGCAGGUCGUGAGUUCGAAUCUCACAGGGGGCACCG